ACCCAUUCUUCUUUAUACAUUGUCCUGUAGCCACAUUUUGAUUGCUUAAAGCUUAUCUUUUAGUAGAUACCUUGGAAUCAAUAGCUGUCUUUAUAAAUCAAUUUUUAAUAAAAUAUCUUCUCCCAUUGCAUAUCAAGACAAUGGUUUUGAUACACAUUAGUACUUUUAACAAAUAUUCUCAGUUAUUUGUACACAUAUAAAAGACAACAAAAUAAGAAUAAGAAUAAUCAUUAUUUGAAAAUAUAGUAGCAGUAAUAUGACAAAUAUUGUGAGAUCAACUGAUGCAUUGGAUCAAAAUAUCUUUAUAUAUUUUUAUGAAAAUAAUACAGAAUUGUAAGAUAUUUAUACAAAUUAUUCUAAUAUAACAUGUUAUGAGGUAGGGGCUUUGUGGUAAAAAAAAAUAACUCUGGUUUAAAUCUUAGUUGUUUCAUAAGAAUCCACAUUUGAAAUGUGAUUUCAAAAUAAGAGACUCAUUUUCUAUACUCAUAGAAAUAAAGUUUCUAUCCUGGUCUUUUUCUUAGUACAUGGUGUAAAUGGCAUUGAAGACUGUUGUGAUAGUUUUCUAAAUAUAAUGAGCUAAAAUUCACCCAAAAGACUAUGGUACCAAAGCGGAGUAGUCAGAAAUAGAACACUCUAUGAAGGUGAUAGACUGUGGCAUGCAGGGUUCUUCAGUGUGGAAAACAGAGGUAACUUUAGCUAGAUUAAGUAGGAGGAAUUUAUUUCCAGGUAUUAGUAACAUAUCUUUGUAAAGGGUGAAAUAAGAUUAAACUGGAACUUCUUAGAGAUAUUCUCAGAAUCAUUGCAUAACUAACCUGAAAAAGCAGCAAGAUUUCUACCACUGACAUAAGAGGCUUUCAGAGAUGAAAAUCUGUUGGAUGACACGCAGCUUACCCUUUCAAAGUUCCUCAAGGACCCCGGGGAAUGCAGCCAUCUGGAAUUUGCUGUCAUGCUGUGAUUUCUGCAGCAGGUGCACAGGAAACCCAGACAAAGAACUUUACAUUUGAAACUCCUGUGGUUCCCAGAUGGAGGUAUGGAGCCAGGAAACUCCUGCCUUUGAACCAUGCCCCUCACCGACCCAGGAAGAGAAGUCCCUCAUUUUGAUUGUAUUUAAAGCUGAAAAUCUUCAGAACAACCAUGAGCGGCUGUGGAGAACGCAAGCUGGAAGCAAAAAUUAUGAGAUGAAUCUUUCAAGCUAAGAUGUCUCAGAGCUUGCGUGUCAGAAAUCACCAAAGAUAUUGGGGCACAUCCUCUUGCAAUGGCAAGCACUGGGGCAAGGGAGGAGAGCUGACAAAAUACAUAAGCCAUGACAAGCAAACAGAAGAAACAGAAGGUUAACUUAUGGCCAUCAACAAAUUCUAGAGCCACUUUUUAACAGUGUUUAGGCAAUAUGAAGACAUGUGAACCAGAAGUCAUUUUAAGUAGGAAAAUGUGGGAUAAACAACUUUAGCAAUGCUUUAAAUUUAAAUUGCUUAAUCUUAUGUCUGGAAACUUUUAAAUCAAAAAACAUUGUUUAACCUAAAAAACUAAUUGUUACCAUCAAUUAUCAAAUACAGUUUCUCCUCUCAUUUCAUCCAUACAAGCAGUAGAAAAUAAUAGAAGUGCUGUUAUUUUUUUUCAGUUCUAAGGUGUAUAAAUUACAAAUUUUCUGGUUUAACUUUCCUUGUAGCAUAUAUUGUGAAAUCUAGAUUAUAUUUCAUUUGAUGUAUUUUGUUGAUAGAUCAGAGUGACACAAAUGCAGAGAAACAAAAUCUAGAGCCCAUAGAAAUCCUGAAGAGGAGGUUGAAGACUAAGGAUUACAUUAGAGCAUAUCCUACUGGGUAAAUGUUGGAUUCAUAGAGACAGGGAAGAGUGGUAGGAUGUAUAAGCUAAGAGGUUUAAAUAACUCAACGUAACAUUAAUAUAUAUUUUCAGACAUAUAAUAAGUCAAAUUAAGUGCAUUAUGGAGCAUUAUCAUAGCAAGCAGUGCUCACUAGUUUAAACAACCAAUUGUCACAAGUCUUAAGAUAUGUUAUUAUACUUUCAAAUAUUUAAACAUAAUAUUCUCCCAUAAGUUGACUAUACUAGGAGUAUUUUUUAAGAAAAAAAAAUAUUAUUUGAAUCUUAUUCAGUAUGAACAACUAAAAACCAAAUAAUUUUUAAUAAAAAUUAAUAAAUUUGGUAAGGUAGGUAGAUAGAUGUAGAUACAUAUCAAGAAAAAUGGCUUGAAGCAAGUAUUUUGGAUAUGCUCUUACAAUAAAAAUCUUACUAGUAUUUCAUUUCUGUAUUACUUUAUCAACUUCAUUGGAAAAUCAGAACUAUUUAUUCUUGAUAAAAUAUGCUUUUUGUUUUAUGUGAAUACAAACUGAAUUAUAAAGUUACUCAUAAUUUUAGAUUAUCAUAUCUAACUUUCAGUUAAAAUGUUACUUGAAUUCUAACUUAAACUGCAUUUUCAUAUAAUUCAUU
This is a long non-coding RNA of Callithrix jacchus (white-tufted-ear marmoset), 2442 nucleotides long. The record is from Ensembl. Lineage: Eukaryota; Metazoa; Chordata; Mammalia; Primates; Cebidae.